RNAcentral lists this long non-coding RNA (1583 nucleotides) under Marmota monax (woodchuck). The record is from RNAcentral. Lineage: Eukaryota; Metazoa; Chordata; Mammalia; Rodentia; Sciuridae.
CAGACACUGUGCAUUUCCAGUUCCACUUAAGGAUCUAAGUGGAAAAGGAAGCUGCUCUGCAGCCCCUAGAGAUUGCCCCAAACAGCUGCAAGCAGUCAGGCCUUACCAUUUCUGUAGUUGAAGUUUUGAGGCCAAGUAUUUCAGGAGCCCCCCGACUGACAAACAGUACCCUCUUUUAGAUAUUGGACAUAAAGACAGAUGUUCUUCGAGCCUUUCAAUUUCAAACACUGGAACUCUUCCAGUCACUCUGCAGUGAGGACUGUCUUCCAUUGCUAGACAAAGAUGUAAUCAAAGCACUCUAGGCCUUUUUCCUGCUGGAACUGAGCCAGGACAGAGCUUCUAAGAAGACUAAAAAGUGGUAGUCUGACCUCUUUAGACAAAGAAAUGCAUAGAACAAGCCUGCCUUCUUCUAGGCAUUAGGGCCAAGUCUCUACCUGCUUCUUGUUGAUAGAGACAGGCAGGCAUUGUAGCAGAAGACAAAUUAGGACUUGUUGCUGUCCUGACUUAGAUAAAGAGAUUUUCUAGAGAUCUAGCUAUAAUUAGAAUUUUGCAUUGAGAUUUGGGAACAAGGCCCAAGUAAAUAUAAAUUCUGCCUUGCUUACGUUUCUUUGUGUGUGUGCACAUGCAUACACACACACACACACACACACACACACUAAUCUAGGAACCCUGCAAUAGAACUGAGUAAUUAAUGGUACAAUUGGGCUAUUACUGGAUAUCUUGGGUGUUCUUGGCCAGACACCAUAUUAAUCACUUGUUAAUAUCCAUACCACGAUUAAGUUUAAAGAGUUCCUUGCCAGAAAGUCUUCAUUCUACCUAAAAUUCCUCUUAUUAAAAGUUCAAUAAUAUUAUCUCCAAAAAUAGUGAUUGGCAAAAUCACUAUUGAUUAAGCGAUGAGAUGCUAAACUCCUUUGAGUAGCACAUUAUCCAUUAACACUGUCAUCUUGCCCAGAGUUAGCUGUUUAAUGAUAUAAUAAGUUCAGCAGGGACUCCAAGGACCUUAUUUCAUGGCGUCUUCCUUAAAUGAUUUUACUGACAUUUAUAUCAAAGUUAUCUCCAGACUUAUCAGAGUAGAUUGAGUCUUUACCCUGCUUCAAAAAUUUUCAAGGAGUUGCUCCUUUCUCUUUGACCCAGCUCCAAUUAGCUGCCCUCUUCUUACAGACCUGGACUCAGGGCAUGCCUGCUUUACAAAUAAUUUUCCUUCCUCCCUCCCUCCUUCAUUUCCCUUCUCUUCCCUUUCCGCACACCCUUGGACCAGAAACCAUUUCACCCUCAAGUGACAAGGGCCAUGGUUCAGCUUAUUCCAUGGCUACUUAAUUAAGAAAGUUUAUUUAUGAAAUCUACAUGCUUGGGGUAGUUUUCCUCAUUUCCCUUUCAGGGGAUUUGUCUCUGAUAUACAGAAAUGCCUUUGACUUAUGGGUAUUGAUUUUACAUCCUGCUACUUUGCUGAAUUCAUUUAUUCUAGAAGUUUUCUGGUGGAAUUUUUUGGUCUUCUAGGUAUAGAAUCAUAUCCUUGGCAAAUAGUGCUAUAAUUUGAGUUCUUAUUUUCCUAUCUGUAUCCCUUUCAUUUCUUUCGUCUGUCU